CCUACGGGAGGCAGCAGUGAGGAAUAUUGGUCAAUGGACGCAAGUCUGAACCAGCCAUGCCGCGUGCAGGAAGACGGCUCUAUGAGUUGUAAACUGUUUUUGUACGAGGGAAAGCGCAGAUACUUGUAUCUUUCCGAAAUGACGUUACGAGUAAGGAACGGCCAACCCCGUGCCAGCAGCCGCGGUAAGACGGAGGAUACAAGCGUUAUCCGGAUUGAUUGGGUUUAAAGGGUGCGUAGGCGGUCUGAUAAGUUAGAGGUGAAAUCCCGAGGCUCAACUUCGGAAUUGCCUCUGAUACUGUUCGGCUAGAGAGUAGUUGCGGUAGGCAGAAUGUAUGGUGUAGCGGUGAAAUGCUUAGAGAUCAUACAGAACACCGAUUGCGAAGGCAGCUUACCAAGCUACUUCUGACGUUGAGGCACGAAAGCGUGGGGAGCAAACAGGAUUAGAUACCCCAGUAGUC
Molecule: ribosomal RNA, 460 nt
Filed under: uncultured bacterium
Lineage: Bacteria
Description: partial 16S ribosomal RNA
Rfam family: Bacterial small subunit ribosomal RNA
Source: RNAcentral